RNAcentral lists this long non-coding RNA (235 nucleotides) under Prunus persica (peach). Its description in RNAcentral is "long non-coding RNA (PPER_LNC007194)". The record is from RNAcentral. Lineage: Eukaryota; Viridiplantae; Streptophyta; Magnoliopsida; Rosales; Rosaceae.
AUCAACAUUAUUAUUUAGAUUAAACCACAAGCAUGAAUCAAGGGGAUUGAAUGCAUUUUGGGUCAACCAAGACAAUUUAAGCAAUCAACUAGAAUUAAUUAUAUUUAUCAACAAGGAAAUUAUGACUUAUUUGAAUGCUAAUUGAGAUGCACCAAAACCCUUAUACAUACCAAGUUUUUAGAAGAGAGAAAGAUCCCCGACACAACACACAACUUGUCAUUUUACAUUCGUUUCA